UACGUAGGGCGCAAGCGUUGUCCGGAAUUAUUGGGCGUAAAGAGCUCGUAGGCGGUCUGUCGCGUCGGCUGUGAAAGCCCGGGGCUCAACCCCGGGUCUGCAGUCGAUACGGGCAGGCUAGAGUGCGGUAGGGGAGACUGGAAUUCCUGGUGUAGCGGUGAAGUGCGCAGAUAUCAGGAGGAACACCGGUGGCGAAGGCGGGUCUCUGGGCCGUAACUGACGCUGAGGAGCGAAAGCGUGGGGAGCGAACAGG
Molecule: ribosomal RNA, 253 nt
Filed under: uncultured bacterium
Lineage: Bacteria
Description: partial 16S ribosomal RNA
Rfam family: Bacterial small subunit ribosomal RNA
Source: RNAcentral